RNAcentral lists this ribosomal RNA (686 nucleotides) under uncultured bacterium. RNAcentral describes it as "bacterial SSU rRNA". It matches the Rfam family "Bacterial small subunit ribosomal RNA", at positions 8 to 692 of the family's 1533-position model. The record is from RNAcentral.
AGAGUUUGAUCCUGGCUCAGAAUGAACGCUGGCGGUGUGCUUAACACAUGCAAGUCGAGCGAGAAAGCCCUUUCGGGGGUGAGUACAGCGGCGGACGGGUGAGUAACGCGUGAGAAUUUACCUCUCAGUGAAGAAUACCCUCGAGAAAUCGAGGCUAAUACUGCAUACGUCCCUACGGGGAGAAAGGUGGCCUCUUUGCUGCCGCUGAAAGAUAAGCUCACGUACUAUUAGUUUGUUGGUGGGGUAAAGGCCUACCAAGACGAUGAUGGUUAGCCGGCCUGAGAGGGUGUACGGCCACACUGGAACUUAGACACGGUCCAGACUCCUACGGGAGGCAGCAGUGGGGAAUAUUGCGCAAUGGGCGAAAGCCUGACGCAGCGACACCGCGUGGGGGAUGAAGGUUCUUGGAUCGUAAACUCCUGUUAAGUGGGAAGAAAGCUCUGUAAUUAAUACGUACAGAGGAUGACGGUACCAUUANAGAAAGCACCGGCUAACUUCGUGCCAGCAGCCGCGGUAAUACGAGGGGUGCAAGCGUUAUUCGGAAUCAUUGGGCGUAAAGGGUGUGUAGACGGUAUGUUAAGUCCGCUGUUAAAUUUUUCGGCCUAACUGAAAACCUGCAGUAGAUACUGGCAAACUAGAGGAUGGAAGAGAGAAGUGGAAUUCUCGGAGUAGCGGUAAAAUGCGUA